UCCGCUUCACGAAAGUUAACAUGUGUACGGUCGUUGAGAGGGAAGCUGUUUUUGGCCAGAAAUCAUUUUGUUUAUCAGGUUUCCUUUGUUUUACUUUACCAACUCGGACUUGGAAGGUGGACACCACAGACUUAAUAAGAAAACAACACAGAAGAGAAGAAUAUCCGGUCAGCUCCCUACAGAAGUUAACGUUAAAUGUGAAAAGAGCUAAAGAGGCGUGCCUGGCAAGUACAAGCAGGAGAGGACAGACGCAGAGACUGCCAGCAAAAAUCGUCUUUCUUGAGCUUCCUGGGAUUGUUGCCUCACUCAGAUGGCUUAAGGUGCUUUCAGACCAAAAGCGAAGCGAGCAUUCAGGCGGUGAGUUGGGGAAGAGGAGCAGGGAACAGCGCUGCAACAUUUGGACAAAUAAACACCCAUAGUCGGUCGGAUUCAGCUCUGACAACUACGCCGAUUACUCGCGGGAGGAGCUCGGAGUUAACUGCUUUUAUUAAAUUAGCUUUUUACUUUAAUUUUUGGGAUUUCGACAUUCAUUUACCUUCACUGGAGCUUCUCAGCAGCUAGCUUCCGUGCACAGUCCGGUUCCAGUGUUGUUGUUUGCGUCGUUAACUCUGUCGGACUACAACUUCAUAUUUAUAUAAAAACCAGACAAAACUGGACAUUGCUGGAAGAAAAGAAAGCGAGGAGGUUGAACUAGCUGUGAAUGUACUCACGUGAGGAAAGCGUUGCGAGGCGAAAAUUCGCGGUUGGUCUGAAUGCACCAUUAGAGGCCACGAAAACCUCAAAGGACCAGCUGGACCCUCACAAGCUCAAUGUGCUCAUAGGUAUGUCUGGCUCCUUCACACCAUCACUGUU
Molecule: long non-coding RNA, 852 nt
Organism: Micropterus dolomieu (smallmouth bass)
Lineage: Eukaryota; Metazoa; Chordata; Actinopteri; Centrarchiformes; Centrarchidae
Exons: 3
Source: RefSeq, a predicted model, not a curated record